GUCCAAAGAUUAAGCCAUGUAUGUCAGGACAAACUGUGAACGGCUCAUUAGAACAGAUAUCAUUUAUUCGUACAGUCCUUUUGGACAACUGUCCGGAGCUAAACAUGCAAUAAACCCCUGUACGCUUGGAAGGGUGCAAUUAUUAGCGCGAACCAAUCAUCUUCGAAUGUUUGCUAAAUCUGAAUAACGCAACCAGUGCGCCUGGAUGUCCCUAGAAGGUGUCUGUCCUAUCAACCUGAUGGUAGUCAAUUAGUUUACCAUGGUUGUGACCGGUAACAGAGAAUAAGGGUUUGACUCCGAAUAGUAAGCCUUAGAAACGGCUACCACAUUCAUGGAAGGCAACAGGCGAGGAACUUAUCCAAUCUUGAAUAAUGAGAUAGUGACUAAAAAUAUGAAAACCAUUCCUAUGGAACGGUCAUUCCAAUAGGUUGAUCAUAAACUCCUUUUCGAGGCUCAAGGGGAGGGCGAGUCUGGUGCCAGUAGUCGCGGUAAUCCCAGCUAUUA
This 504-nucleotide non-coding RNA is filed under the name Nippostrongylus brasiliensis. Its description in RNAcentral is "Eukaryotic small subunit ribosomal RNA". It matches the Rfam family "Eukaryotic small subunit ribosomal RNA", at positions 34 to 594 of the family's 1831-position model. Lineage: Eukaryota; Metazoa; Nematoda; Chromadorea; Rhabditida; Heligmosomidae. The record is from Rfam by way of RNAcentral.